GAUGAACGCUGGCGGCGUGCCUAAUACAUGCAAGUCGAGCGAACAGACGAGGAGCUUGCUCCUCUGACGUUAGCGGCGGACGGGUGAGUAACACGUGGAUAACCUACCUAUAAGACUGGGAUAACUUCGGGAAACCGGAGCUAAUACCGGAUAAUAUAUUGAACCGCAUGGUUCAAUAGUGAAAGCCGGUUUUGCUGUCACUUAUAGAUGGAUCCGCGCCGCAUUAGCUAGUUGGUAAGGUAACGGCUUACCAAGGCAACGAUGCGUAGCCGACCUGAGAGGGUGAUCGGCCACACUGGAACUGAGACACGGUCCAGACUCCUACGGGAGGCAGCAGUAGGGAAUCUUCCGCAAUGGGCGAAAGCCUGACGCAGCAACGCCGCGUGAGUGAUGAAGGUCUUCGGAUCGUAAAACUCUGUUAUUAGGGAAGAACAAAUGUGUAAGUAACUAUGCACGUCUUGACGGUACCUAAUCAGAAAGCCACGGCUAACUACGUG
RNAcentral lists this ribosomal RNA (497 nucleotides) under uncultured bacterium. RNAcentral's name for it is "partial 16S ribosomal RNA". It matches the Rfam family "Bacterial small subunit ribosomal RNA", at positions 28 to 507 of the family's 1533-position model. The record is from RNAcentral.